RNAcentral lists this long non-coding RNA (1405 nucleotides) under Sus scrofa (pig). Its description in RNAcentral is "lncRNA (ENSSSCG00005019728.1)". The record is from RNAcentral. Lineage: Eukaryota; Metazoa; Chordata; Mammalia; Artiodactyla; Suidae.
GAAGGUGGGUGGCUGCCUGCCUCACUCUGUGGGGGCAACUUAAGGGACCUCAAGCAUUUGUCAUGGACAAACGAGCUGCAGAUGGAUGAGCUGGUCCUCUAGAGCCCAGCUCACUAGGGCGGCCUGGACUCCAGAGGGCUGUGCCACCCCCUCACCUGUGGAUGCUGCAUGCAGAACGUCAGCCAGUCUUCCCUGCAAUUUUUUCUAUCCCCAUAAUUUCGGACUUACAGAACAGCUGCAAGAACAGUACAGUAAACUCCUGGAUACCCUUCAUCCUGACUCUUUAAAUUUACCAUAUUUGGGAGUUACUGCCGUGGUGCGGCGAAAAGGAAUCUAACUAGUAUCCAUGAGGAUGUGGGUAAGAUCCCUGGCCUCGCUCAGUGGGUCAGGGAUCCGGCAUUGCCAUGAGCUGUGGUGUAGGUCGCAGGUGCAGCUUGGAUCUCGUGUUGCUGCGGCUGUGGAGGCCGGUAGCUGUAGCUCUGAUUUGACCCCUAGCCUGGGAACUUCCACAUGCCGCAAGUGUGGCCCUAAAAAAUAAAUAAAUAAAAAUAAAUAAAUAAAUAAAUAAAAAUAAAUACAUAAAUUUACAAUAUUUGCUUCCCCCUCCAUAUAUAUUAUAAAUACUUCUGGACCCUUUGAGAGCCCACUGCAGACAUGACAUCCCUUUACCCCUCGGUACUUGUGUUUAUUUCCUAAAACCAAAGAAUUCUCUUACAUAACCACAACACCAUGAUUGAAAUCAGGAAAUUAAAACAGAUACAAUACUAUUCUGCAAUCUAUAGGCCUCUAACAAAUUUAAGCCUGUGGCCAAAAUCUCCAUUUCCCACAGCCUGUAACCUACGGUGACCUCUCCUCCUGUUUGUCAUGAAUGAUAACGACACAUAUAAUCAUUGCUGUUGUUACUUAUUAAACAUCUACUAUGACCAGAGCUUGGAAUAUAAUGUCUUAUCAUUUCCAGCAACAAGAUAUUUUUCCAGUUUUGCAAAUGAAAGAGAAACCAUAACCAGAGAGGUUAAUGGUUUGUUCACUUUUGUGGUUUGGUGGUUUGUGGCAGGGCUGGGACUGAAUCCAAGUUGGGGUGACAGCUGGAGGGACGGAAUGGAAGGUACCGGGAAGGCGGUUCGCCCAUAAAUCAAAGUCGCCCCUGUAGGGUGCACAAAGCACUGGCUCGUGGGUGCUGCUCUGGAUCUCACUGCUCGGAGGGAGGACGGUCCUGGGGGACCCUGGACCCCCCGAGAAGACUCAGAACCAACCAGUCGGAAAAGGGACGGCCGUCGGAGAGGACGAUUGCAGGAAAAGGCUAAAGACUGCGGGAGAAAGAGCCGGGCGGCCCAAGACAGCCCCGAGAGACCGCGGCGAGCGCACGCGCACGCGCAGCACCAUGCCCCGCCCCUCGCUCACGUUU